RNAcentral lists this ribosomal RNA (299 nucleotides) under Spirometra erinaceieuropaei. Its description in RNAcentral is "partial 28S ribosomal RNA". It matches the Rfam family "Eukaryotic large subunit ribosomal RNA", at positions 19 to 286 of the family's 3401-position model. Lineage: Eukaryota; Metazoa; Platyhelminthes; Cestoda; Diphyllobothriidea; Diphyllobothriidae. The record is from RNAcentral.
GAUUACCCGGCGAACUUAAGCAUAUCACUAAGCGGAGGAAAAGAAACUAACCAGGAUUCCCCUAGUAACGGCGAGUGAAGAGGGAAUAGCCCAGCACCGAAGCCUGCGGUAGGUUUACUGCUAGGCAAUGUGGUGUUUGGGUCGACUCGCGGGAUUGCCACUCCACUCGAAGUCCAGCACUGAGUAUGGUUCCCUGGAUUUGGCCCAGAGAGGGUGAAAGGCCCGUGCGAGUGGAGGUUCAGACAUGUGAGGCAAUUCACCAGGUCGACCUUCGAGUCGGGGUGUUUGGGAAAUGCAGC